CCUACGGGCUGCAGCAGCGGGGAAUAUUGCACAAUGGGCGCAAGCCUGAUGCAGCCAUGCCGCGUGUAUGAAGGAGGCCCUAGGGUUGUAAAGUACUUUCAGUCGGGAGGAAGGCGUUGAUGCUAAUAUCAUCAGCGAUUGACGUUACCGUCAGAAGAAGCACCGGCUAACUCCGUGCCAGCAGCCGCGGUAAUACGGAGGGUGCAAGCGUUAAUCGGAAUUACUGGGCGUAAAGCGCACGCAGGCGGUUGAUUAAGUUAGAUGUGAAAUCCCCGGGCUUAACCUGGGAAUGGCAUCUAAGACUGGUCAGCUAGAGUCUUGUAGAGGGGGGUAGAAUUCCAUGUGUAGCGGUGAAAUGCGUAGAGGCGUGGAGGAAUACCGGUGGCGAAGGCGGCCCCCUGGACAAAGACUGACGCUCAGGUGCGAAAGCGUGGGGAGCAAACAGGAUUAGAUACCCCUGUAGUC
This 465-nucleotide ribosomal RNA is filed under the name uncultured bacterium. RNAcentral describes it as "bacterial SSU rRNA". It matches the Rfam family "Bacterial small subunit ribosomal RNA", at positions 338 to 795 of the family's 1533-position model. The record is from RNAcentral.